This 253-nucleotide ribosomal RNA is filed under the name uncultured bacterium. RNAcentral describes it as "partial 16S ribosomal RNA". It matches the Rfam family "Bacterial small subunit ribosomal RNA", at positions 524 to 776 of the family's 1533-position model. The record is from RNAcentral.
UACGUAGGGUGCAAGCGUUAAUCGGAAUUACUGGGCGUAAAGGGCGCGUAGGCGGCCUGCUAAGUCGGACGUGAAAUCCCUCGGCUCAACCGAGGAACUGCGUCCGAUACUGGUGGGCUUGAAUCCGGGAGAGGGAUGUGGAAUUCCAGGUGUAGCGGUGAAAUGCGUAGAUAUUUGGAGGAACACCGGUGGCGAAGGCGGCAUCCUGGACCGGUAUUGACGCUGAGGCGCGAAAGCUAGGGGAGCAAACGGG